GACAGAGGGGGCAAGCGUUAUUCGGAUUUACUGGGCGUAAAGGGCGCGUAGGCGGCUUGGUAAGUCUGGUGUGAAAACGCUACCGCUUAACGGAGCGAUUGCGCUGGAAACUGCCAAACUUGAGUUCGUGAGAGGUCGGUAGAAUACCUGGUGUAGCGGUGGAAUGCUUAGAUAUCAGGUAGAAUACCUGAGGCGAAGGCGACCGACUGGCACGACACUGACGCUGAGGCGCGAAAGCGUGGGGAGCGAACAGGAUUAGAUACCCUGGUAGUCCACGCUGUAAACGGUGUGCACUAGCCGUGGGGGGUACCCAUUCCCUCCGUGGCGCAGGUAACCUACUAAGUGCACCGCCUGGGGAGUACGGCCGCAAGGUUGAA
This 377-nucleotide ribosomal RNA is filed under the name uncultured bacterium. RNAcentral's name for it is "bacterial SSU rRNA". It matches the Rfam family "Bacterial small subunit ribosomal RNA", at positions 524 to 898 of the family's 1533-position model. The record is from RNAcentral.